UGGGGAAUAUUGGACAAUGGGCGAAAGCCUGAUCCAGCAAUGCCGCGUGUGUGAAGAAGGCCUAAGGGUUGUAAAGCACUUUCAUUAGGGAGGAAGUUGUUUAGGUUAAGAGCUAAAGCAAUUGACGUUACCUAAAAAGAAGCACCGGCUAACUCUGUGCCAGCAGCCGCGGUAAUACAGAGGGUGCAAGCGUUAAUCGGAAUUACUGGGCGUAAAGCGUGCGUAGGCGGAAUACUAAGUCAGAUGUGAAAUCCCUGGGCUCAACCUAGGAAUGGCAUUUGAAACUGGUAAUCUAGAGCAGAAAAGAGGAGAGUAGAAUUUCAGGUGUAGCGGUGAAAUGCGUAGAUAUC
This 350-nucleotide ribosomal RNA is filed under the name uncultured bacterium. Its description in RNAcentral is "bacterial SSU rRNA". It matches the Rfam family "Bacterial small subunit ribosomal RNA", at positions 355 to 698 of the family's 1533-position model. The record is from RNAcentral.